UACGUAGGGGGCAAGCGUUGUCCGGAAUCAUUGGGCGUAAAGAGCGUGUAGGCGGUUCGAUAAGUCGGUUGUGAAAGUCCAGGGCUCAACCCUGGGAUGCCGACCGAUACUGUCGGACUAGAGUUCGGAAGAGGCGAGUGGAAUUCCCGGUGUAGCGGUGAAAUGCGCAGAUAUCGGGAGGAACACCGGUGGCGAAGGCGGCGACCUGGGUAGAUACUGACGCUGAGGUGCGAAAGCGUGGGGAGCAAACAGG
This 253-nucleotide ribosomal RNA is filed under the name uncultured bacterium. Its description in RNAcentral is "partial 16S ribosomal RNA". It matches the Rfam family "Bacterial small subunit ribosomal RNA", at positions 524 to 776 of the family's 1533-position model. The record is from RNAcentral.